AUGAAGCUUUUAGAAUACACCCCGUUCGACUGUGUAAAUGUGUUCCUCGAUCAACUAAACCUUGGUGAUUGUACAAUUAGGGGGAGCCUUGAAGCCUUCUCAUGCAAGCACGCAGGAAAUGAUCGUCGGCUUUCAAUAAGCCUGGAACAUGAGAUUCUUGAUUACCUUGGCAAGUCUUCUGAUAGUGAUCCUCCUUCACCUGUGGAGCAUUUGUCUUGUAGAUCGAGCCGGAAAACGUUGAUAUAUCUAGUUCUCACUCUUGGCCAUAUGUAUCCAGAUUAUGAUUUCAGCAGUGCUGUUCGGGCACACCUAUUCUUCAAAGAAGAAGACAUGGAAAGUUUCAAGCAGAUGGUAGACAACUACUUAUCGGAGGCUUCUAGGCUCUGGGCAGCAAGAAAUGAAGGCAGUUCUCUUCUGGACAGUAUGACUAAAGCUAUUGAUGAGGUUAUCAAAAUCAGGGAGUGUGACAUCUACAGCUACAACCCAGACUCUGACGGAGAUCCAUUUCUAGAGAAAGGGGCCAUAUGGUCGGUGAACUUUUUCUUCUACAACCGGAAGCUAAAGCGAGUAGUGAGCUUUCGCUGCUGCUGUACUAGCAAAUUUGCAGGAGAUGACUUCCUUGCUGGUGCACUCUCGGAUGGCGAGGAGGAAGAUGCGUUGAUCGACAUGGACAUAUGA
Molecule: ribosomal RNA, 678 nt
Filed under: Triticum aestivum (bread wheat)
Lineage: Eukaryota; Viridiplantae; Streptophyta; Magnoliopsida; Poales; Poaceae
Description: partial small subunit ribosomal RNA
Source: RNAcentral